GACGAACGCUGGCGACGUGCUUAACACAUGCAAGUCGAACGGAAAGGCCCUGCUUUUGUGGGGUGCUCGAGUGGCGAACGGGUAAGUAACACGUGAGUAACCUGCCCUUGACUUUGGGAUAACUUCAGGAAACUGGGGCUAAUACCGGAUAGGAGCUCCUGCUGCAUGGUGGGGGUUGGAAAGUUUCGGCGGUUGGGGAUGGACUCGCGGCUUAUCAGCUUGUUGGUGGGGUAGUGGCUUACCAAGGCUUUGACGGGUAGCCGGCCUGAGAGGGUGACCGGCCACAUUGGGACUGAGAUACGGCCCAGACUCCUACGGGAGGCAGCAGUGGGGAAUAUUGCACAAUGGGCGGAAGCCUGAUGCAGCAACGCCGCGUGCGGGAUGACGGCCUUCGGGUUGUAAACCGCUUUCGCCUGUGACGAAGCGUGAGUGACAGUAAUGGGUAAAGAAGCACCGGCUAACUACGUGCCAGCAGCCGCGGUGAUACGUAGGGUGCGAGCGUUGUCCGGAUUUAUUGGGCGUAAAGGGCUCGUAGGUGGUUGAUCGCGUCGGAAGUGUAAUCUUGGGGCUUAACCCUGAGCGUGCUUUCGAUACGGGUUGACUUGAGGAAGGUAGGGGAGAAUGGAAUUCCUGGUGGAGCGGUGGAAUGCGCAGAUAUCAGGAGGAACACCAGUGGCGAAGGCGGUUCUCUGGGCCUUUCCUGACGCUGAGGAGCGAAAGCGUGGGGAGCGAACAGGCUUAGAUACCCUGGUAGUCCACGCUGUAAACGGUGGGUACUAGGUGUGGGGUCCAUUCCACGGGUUCCGUGCCGUAGCUAACGCUUUAAGUACCCCGCCUGGGGAGUACGGCCGCAAGGCUAAAACUCAAAGGAAUUGACGGGGCCCCGCACAAGCGGCGGAGCAUGCGGAUUGAUUCGAUGCAACGCGUAGAACCUUACCUGGGUUUGACAUGGAUCGGGAGUGCUCAGAGAUGGGUGUGCCUCUUUUGGGGUCGGUUCACAGGUGGUGCAUGGCUGUCGUCAGCUCGUGUCGUGAGAUGUUGGGUUAAGUCCCGCAACGAGCGCAACCCUUGUUCACUGUUGCCAGCACGUUAUGGUGGGGACUCAGUGGAGACCGCCGGGGUCAACUCGGAGGAAGGUGGGGAUGACGUCAAGUCAUCAUGCCCCUUAUGUCCAGGGCUUCACGCAUGCUACAAUGGCUGGUACAGAGAGUGGCGAGCCUGUGAGGGUGAGCGAAUCUCGGAAAGCCGGUCUCAGUUCGGAUUGGGGUCUGCAACUCGACCUCAUGAAGUCGGAGUCGCUAGUAAUCGCAGAUCAGCAACGCUGCGGUGAAUACGUUCCCGGGGCU
RNAcentral lists this ribosomal RNA (1346 nucleotides) under uncultured bacterium. RNAcentral describes it as "partial 16S ribosomal RNA". It matches the Rfam family "Bacterial small subunit ribosomal RNA", at positions 28 to 1381 of the family's 1533-position model. The record is from RNAcentral.